UGCAGCUUUGAGCAGAUUCGGAAUUGUAUAUACACCAUUUGUUCUUUUAUGGUGGCAGAAUUCCAGUAAACGUGGAAAACUGGGCAAACAGAUGUAUUUAAUUUAAUAAUGUAUUUAAUCAUUUUGCAUGGUAUUUUGCAACAAAUUGAACAAGGAGCUUAUUUUCCCUGUGCACCCACAAGACUGAAACACCCAACUAUUCAGCUGCAGGUGAUUACGCAACAGAGCACCUAAUGAACACUCACGUCUUGUUCUGCAGUGAAAUCACAACGCGAUGAUGGAGUGUGUAUAACACUGUCUGGAUCCUCUCCUACACCACUAUUCAUGACAGGUGACAGCUACUGAUUGGCCCAGAUUACUGGAAGCCAUAAGCAUAACAGUGGUAACAGUUGUGUGGAUGUAUGUGUGCCUAUGUCUGCGUAUGUGUGGAGGGGGAAGGGACCAGGGCUUCAUGCCAACUUGAGGCAGCCAGAAUACACACACACACACACACACACACACACACAUACACAUAGAAGAUAGAAUGGCUUUGGGCUGGCUGCGAGUGUGUGUGACAGACACGCCCUUACAAACAGGGUUAACUUCGCGCUAACCAAUUAGAAUUCAGGAAAAGGAGGGGUGGGAAAACCCCGGGGGCCAGAGAGCAGCCAAGCUGGACGAAACUCUCGCUUUAUUACAACUCAGAGGCCUUGAACCAAUUAAACAGAACUACAUGCAUGAAGACACACACCCAUUCACGUGUGUAGAUCUGCACAAAUCUCAUAUAAUGAUUUGAACUUGCAUCGCAGUACUUGGCAUUCUGCCAAGAGCAAAAUUGGGUCAAACACACUAAAAUGCAUCUUUGCUCUCUGCCCUGCCCCUGUUAUGUAACACUCCUGGAUGUUUAGACAAGCUUAGGAUUGAAAUGAUCCCAGUGGAAGGGAUACGAGUGGAACAAGAGGAGAACAAGGGCAACAGAGGGUUCACAUGCAGAUAGAGAAACAGAAUGAGAGGAUACAACAAACAACAAAAAGGAAACAACAUAGUAGCAGCAUGUUUACCAAUGACAUAGGAGAGGAUGAGAUUCCAUCCAGUGAUGAAGGCCCAGAGUUCCCCUACAGUCACAUAGGAGUAAAGCACCGGCUAGCACGUAGACACCAGCGCCCAGUGUGCUGCCCACGCCCAGGGCCACCAG
Molecule: long non-coding RNA, 1174 nt
Organism: Siniperca chuatsi (mandarin fish)
Lineage: Eukaryota; Metazoa; Chordata; Actinopteri; Centrarchiformes; Sinipercidae
Exons: 3
Source: RefSeq, a predicted model, not a curated record